GACGAACGCUGGCGGCGUGCUUAACACAUGCAAGUCGAACGAAGAGCGACGGAAGCUUGCUUCUAUCAAUCUUAGUGGCGAACGGGUGAGUCACGCGUAAUCAACCUGCCCUUCAGAGGGGGACAACAGUUGGAAACGACUGCUAAUACCGCAUACGAUCUAAUCUCGGCAUCGAGGAUGGAUGAAAGGUGGCCUCUACAUGUAAGCUAUCACUGAAGGAGGGGAUUGCGUCUGAUUAGCUAGUUGGAGGGGUAACGGCCCACCAAGGCGAUGAUCAGUAGCCGGUCUGGGAGGAUGAACGGCCACAUUGGGACUGAGACACGGCCCAGACUCCUACGGGAGGCAGCAGUGGGGAAUCUUCCGCAAUGGACGAAAGUCUGACGGAGCAACGCCGCGUGAGUGAUGACGGCCUUCGGGUUGUAAAGCUCUGUUAAUCGGGACGAAAGGCCUUCUUGCGAAUAGUGAGAAGGAUUGACGGUACCGGAAUAGAAAGCCACGGCUAACUACGUG
This 510-nucleotide ribosomal RNA is filed under the name uncultured bacterium. Its description in RNAcentral is "partial 16S ribosomal RNA". It matches the Rfam family "Bacterial small subunit ribosomal RNA", at positions 28 to 507 of the family's 1533-position model. The record is from RNAcentral.